CGCCAGAGACAACGUUAGUACACUUGGAAUUGUUAUUAAUUUACUUGAUGCUGGUUGACUCUGGUGAUGUUCCUAACAUUUACUGUUUUUUUGUUGUAGUGGACUCUCUGCCACAGAGGUUGGCAACAGAAGUUGCAACAGAGGCAGAAAGGGAAAUGGCCUCUUCCAGGUAAACCAUUGUAUCAAUAAUCUAAGCAUAGAAUUUCAGUAUUGAUUAGAAAUGUUGUCACAUCUGUCACUAUUGUUAUGUUUUAAGAACCACACUGGACACCAUUAGGGACUGGGGAAGGAAUAUCAGUGUCACCCUUGAGAGGCAAAAACCUGCUCUGUGCUGUGCUGCAAUAUGUUGCAAUGCUCCAGCAACAUACAAUUGCAAUGUGUGUUAUUGAUUUCAAAUGACUAAACAAAGUUGUUAUUUUUUGGCAUGCAUUAUUGUUUGCCCUCUUUAAUCCAUUUUUAAUUUCCAGGCCACAGCAGGAAAGUGGAGAUGAAACAGCUUGUCAGCUUGUGCAGAUGGAGAGGUACUUCCUCAGUUUAACAAUGCAAUUGUUAGAUCAAUGAAUAUAAUUGAUCUCCCUGGUCAAAGUAUUUAGAACCUUGCUGAUGACAGAAAACUGAAGACGAUGGAGAGGAAGAACAGCAUCCUCCAUCGUUGGUCCCCCUCCAGCCUUCGCUUCCAGACUGCACUCCGCAGAGUAACAGAUUGAGAACAUUCAGUCUGGUGCUGGAACGGAGGUUCCUCUGUGGCCUGAUGAGAAAAUAUGCAGAUGGUCAAGGUAUAGCCAACCGCCUGUCCAAAAGGCUUGCCACGGUUAAAAAUGUGAAGGACUACAACCUGAGGAGACAAGGUUUGUCCUCACAGCUCCCACAGGCCCUGGUGUAUGAGGAUGCAGUGCAGGUGGACAGCACUGUUUGGUCCUGGAGAGCAGGAGGAGCAGAGGAUGAUGAGGAGUUUCACCUCAAACAAAGGCUCUUUGUGCUCCAUCCCCUCGGGCGUGGGAAGAGAAGCGGUACAAUGAGGAUGAUGUCUUCACUGCCAAGAAGUUCUACUCAGUUCUACGCAGAAACUGAUUGUGGAGGCCAGAGCAAGAUCGAUUUUGUCUUGGGGCAAGAGCUGUCCUUGCUGGAAAUCUUGAUGAGCUCCAGCAGGCAGAAGGACAAUGUGAAUCUUUCAGAGGGGCUUUUAUUGAGGACAGUGGCAAAAACUUUGAAGUGGAGGACAUCGAGGAAGUGGAUGAUGACUAUUAUGAUGAUGAUGGUGAUGACGGUGACAGUAAUGGUGAUAUUGAUUGAGGCUGAGGGUUGCGGUGUCCAUUAUGUUUUAAUUUAUGUCAUUGUAUUCGGCAAGUAGCCUAGUGGCUAAAGCAAUGGACUAGUAACCGAAAGGUUGCAAGAUUGCAUUCCCGAGCUGACAAGGUAAAAAUCUGUCGUUCUGCCCCCGAACAAGGCAGUUAACCCACUGUUCCUAGGCCGUCAUUGAAAAUAAGAAUUUGUUCUUAACGGACUUGUUUACAGUUGUAUGUUUUAUUGCUCUUUUGGGGUUAAAAGAAGCACAUUUCUAUUUAAUUGUUAGAUGUGAUACAGGCCAUUGUUGCAUGUCAUUUACUAUUUAUGUCAUGGUGAGAGAACCUGAGGUGAGCCUGGUAUACCCCAACUUGAGUCUAAUGGAAUAGACCGGUUUGCUUCCUCCAAAGUAUUGUCUUUUUAUUGACCUGUUAGUUGUCAUUUUGAAUAUCUAGAACACCAUUGGCAUCUUUAAAUUAAAUAACUUCUGCACCU
This is a long non-coding RNA of Oncorhynchus kisutch (coho salmon), 1779 nucleotides long. The record is from Ensembl. NCBI's taxonomy places the organism in Eukaryota, Metazoa, Chordata, Actinopteri, Salmoniformes, Salmonidae.